Molecule: transfer RNA, 75 nt
Filed under: Opitutia bacterium
Lineage: Bacteria; Pseudomonadati; Verrucomicrobiota; Opitutia
Also listed under: 1 other name
Description: tRNA-Arg
Rfam family: tRNA
About the family: Transfer RNA (tRNA) molecules are approximately 80 nucleotides in length. Their secondary structure includes four short double-helical elements and three loops (D, anti-codon, and T loops). Further hydrogen bonds mediate the characteristic L-shaped molecular structure. tRNAs have two regions of fundamental functional importance: the anti-codon, which is responsible for specific mRNA codon recognition, and the 3' end, to which the tRNAs corresponding amino acid is attached (by aminoacyl-tRNA synthetases). tRNAs cope with the degeneracy of the genetic code in two manners: having more than one tRNA (with a specific anti-codon) for a particular amino acid; and 'wobble' base-pairing, i.e. permitting non-standard base-pairing at the 3rd anti-codon position.
Source: RNAcentral
GCUCCCAUAGUUCAAUGGAUAGAGCGUCGGUCUCCGGAACCGAAAAUCCAGGUUCGAGUCCUGGUGGGAGCGCCA